GACGAACGCUGGCGGCGUGCUUAACACAUGCAAGUCGAACGGAAAGGCCCUGCUUUUGUGGGGUGCUCGAGUGGCGAACGGGUGAGUAACACGUGAGUAACCUGCCCUUGACUUUGGGAUAACUUCAGGAAACUGGGGCUAAUACCGGAUAGGAGCUCCUGCUGCAUGGUGGGGGUUGGAACGUUUCGGCUGGUGGGGAUGGACUCGCGGCUUAUCAGCUUGUUGGUUGGGUAGUGGCUUACCAAGGCUUUGACGGGUAGCCGGCCUGUGAGGGUGACCGGCCACAUUGGGACUGCGAUACGGCCCAGACUCCUACGGGAGGCAGCAGUGGGGAAUAUUGCCCAAUGGGAGGAAGCCUGAUGCAGCAACGCCGCGUGCGGGAUGACGGCCUUCGGGUUGUAAACCGCUUUCGCCUGUGACGAAGCGUGAGUGACGGUAAUGGGUAAAGAAGCACCGGCUAACUACGUG
RNAcentral lists this ribosomal RNA (468 nucleotides) under uncultured bacterium. Its description in RNAcentral is "partial 16S ribosomal RNA". It matches the Rfam family "Bacterial small subunit ribosomal RNA", at positions 28 to 507 of the family's 1533-position model. The record is from RNAcentral.